GACGAACGCUGGCGGCGUGCUUAACACAUGCAAGUCGAGCGGGUAAGGCCCUUUCGGGGGUACACGAGCGGCGAACGGGUGAGUAACACGUGGGUGACCUGCCCUCAGCUCUGGGAUAAGCCCGGGAAACUGGGUCUAAUACUGGAUAUGACUCCAUGACGCAUGUUGUGGGGUGGAAAGCCUUGUGCGGCUGAGGAUGGGCCCGCGGCCUAUCAGCUUGUUGGUGGGGGAUGGCCUACCAAGGCGACGACGGGUAGCCGGCCUGAGAGGGCGACCGGCCACACUGGGACUGAGACACGGCCCAGACUCCUACGGGAGGCAGCAGUGGGGAAUCUUGCGCGAAUGGGCGAAAGCCUGACGCAGCGACGCCGCGUGAGGGAU
Molecule: ribosomal RNA, 381 nt
Filed under: uncultured bacterium
Lineage: Bacteria
Description: bacterial SSU rRNA
Rfam family: Bacterial small subunit ribosomal RNA
Source: RNAcentral